RNAcentral lists this ribosomal RNA (431 nucleotides) under uncultured bacterium. Its description in RNAcentral is "partial 16S ribosomal RNA". It matches the Rfam family "Bacterial small subunit ribosomal RNA", at positions 29 to 507 of the family's 1533-position model. The record is from RNAcentral.
AACGAACGCUGGCGGCAGGCUUAACACAUGCAAGUCGAGCGCCUCGCAAGAGGAGCGGCAGACGGGUGAGUAACGCGUGGGAACGUACCCUUAUCUUCGGAAUAGCUCUGGGAAACUGGAAGUAAUACCGAAUGUGCCCUUAGGGGGAAAGAUUUAUCGGAUAAGGAUCGGCCCGCGUUGGAUUAGCUAGUUGGUGGGGUAAAGGCCUACCAAGGCGACGAUCCAUAGCUGGUCUGAGAGGAUGAUAAGCCACAUUGGGACUGAGACACGGCCCAAACUCCUACGGGAGGCAGCAGUGGGGAAUAUUGGACAAUGGGCGCAAGCCUGAUCCAGCCAUGCCGCGUGAGUGAUGAAGGCCUUAGGGUUGUAAAGCUCUUUCACCGGAGAAGAUAAUGACGGUAUCCGGAGAAGAAGCCCCGGCUAACUUCGUG